CUCACAAUUGGGUUAUGGUCUAUGGGUAGUAAAUGAGAGAUUCACCCAAAAAACAAACUUUGGGCCAAACACUUAUCCAGCCCUAACUCUCUCCACUCCCCUUCUCCCUCUGCAAGUUCCACCGCCCGCCGUGCUCAUUGUUGUGGACGACAUCGCCGCCGCCGGCAGCCGCACUCACCUGUCUCAGGUAUGGUCUUUGUUCCAUCUGGUGUCUUUCGAAUGCAGACUUUCACCGCAACUAAAACUGAAAUGAACAUUGGUGUGAUGAAUGAAACGAUUCAUAAAACUGAAUACCAUUAUCUAUUUCUUUACACUUUUGCAAUGCAAUGAUUCUUCUUGAAUAGGGAGAUAUUCGACAAGUUUGAUUUCAGUGGUGAAAUUGUUUUUAUUCUUUUGGAAUUUCUGUAAUAGCUUAUGAGCUUAUAAAUUAACAUUUUUGUUUGAGCAGGACAAAAAUGAAGAUUGUUUCACUUGCACUCAGGUCCUUGAGUGGCAAUUUAUCUCAUAGGUUUCACCAGACCCGAGGUCUUUCCCUCUGGAAUUUUUCAG
This 549-nucleotide long non-coding RNA is filed under the name Lotus japonicus. Its description in RNAcentral is "long non-coding RNA (LJAP_LNC000524)". Lineage: Eukaryota; Viridiplantae; Streptophyta; Magnoliopsida; Fabales; Fabaceae. The record is from RNAcentral.